Molecule: long non-coding RNA, 217 nt
Filed under: Medicago truncatula (barrel medic)
Lineage: Eukaryota; Viridiplantae; Streptophyta; Magnoliopsida; Fabales; Fabaceae
Description: long non-coding RNA (MTRU_LNC001194)
Source: RNAcentral
UCGCUGUCUCAUAUUCAAUUCCUUCUGAUCGAACAAAUACUUCAAACUCUUGUGAUCACUAAACACCUCAAACCUCGAACCAUACAAGUAAUGUCUCCAUAUCUUCAAUACAAAGACUACGGCCGCCAACUCGAGAUCAUGCGUAGGAUAAUUCUUCUCAUGAACUCUCAACUGUCUUGAAGCAUAAGCUACCACUUUACCUUCUUGCAUAAGUACA